This is a long non-coding RNA of Cydia splendana, 356 nucleotides long. RefSeq lists it as uncharacterized. The record is from RefSeq and is a predicted model, not a curated record. The transcript is spliced from 2 exons. Lineage: Eukaryota; Metazoa; Arthropoda; Insecta; Lepidoptera; Tortricidae.
UUCAUGAAAAAGGGUUCGCGUCAUGAAAGAGUUUGAGAAACACGCACUGCACCAGUUAAUAAAUCCUUUGAACUUCACUUCACUUUAUUCACAUUACCACUUCACUUAUGUACCUGACAGUAGACCUUCCUUCCUUUCAGGUAAUCGUUGUCAACAACCACCACUCCAUCGACGGGAUCGCAGUAAUCCAUAUGAUCAAUGAAGUCCCGCUUGCCGAGGUAAACAGUAACUUUGCCAUUUGGUGUAGUUUUCUUAAAUACUUUAACAGCGACGACCAUUUUUAUUAAGGUUUUGGAUGUAACGGACUAGGGUUAAAUAAUAUGAGAUUCCGUCUCCCUAUGGAGUUGUGAUGUCUC